Molecule: ribosomal RNA, 511 nt
Filed under: Pichia kudriavzevii
Lineage: Eukaryota; Fungi; Ascomycota; Pichiomycetes; Pichiales; Pichiaceae
Description: eukaryotic LSU rRNA
Rfam family: Eukaryotic large subunit ribosomal RNA
Source: RNAcentral
AAAAAGAAACCAACAGGGAUUGCCUCAGUAGCGGCGAGUGAAGCGGCAAGAGCUCAGAUUUGAAAUCGUGCUUUGCGGCACGAGUUGUAGAUUGCAGGUUGGAGUCUGUGUGGAAGGCGGUGUCCAAGUCCCUUGGAACAGGGCGCCCAGGAGGGUGAGAGCCCCGUGGGAUGCCGGCGGAAGCAGUGAGGCCCUUCUGACGAGUCGAGUUGUUUGGGAAUGCAGCUCCAAGCGGGUGGUAAAUUCCAUCUAAAGCUAAAUACUGGCGAGAGACCGAUAGCGAACAAGUACUGUGAAGGAAAGAUGAAAAGCACUUUGAAAAGAGAGUGAAACAGCACGUGAAAUUGUUGAAAGGGAAGGGUAUUGCGCCCGACAUGGGGAUUGCGCACCGCUGCCUCUCGUGGGCGGCGCUCUGGGCUUUCCCUGGGCCAGCAUCGGUUCUUGCUGCAGGAGAAGGGGUUCUGGAACGUGGCUCUUCGGAGUGUUAUAGCCAGGGCCAGAUGCUGCGUGC